Molecule: unclassified non-coding RNA, 210 nt
Filed under: Hevea brasiliensis (rubber tree)
Lineage: Eukaryota; Viridiplantae; Streptophyta; Magnoliopsida; Malpighiales; Euphorbiaceae
Source: RNAcentral
GGGGUAUAUAGAGUAACCAUGGUGAGCAUUCUCAAAUACUUCAAGCACAGAUUUCAAUAGUCCCUUCUCUUUAUCAGAAACAAAAGUUAAGGAUUGUGAAGUAGAAAUAGCAGAUCUCAACUGCUCCAAAAACCAAUGCCAAUUAUUAUCAUUCUCAAUAUCUACUAUAGCAAAUGCAACCGGAAAAGCACUAUCGUCCCCAUCUAAUGC